This is a long non-coding RNA of Oncorhynchus tshawytscha (Chinook salmon), 2018 nucleotides long. The record is from Ensembl. Lineage: Eukaryota; Metazoa; Chordata; Actinopteri; Salmoniformes; Salmonidae.
AGACCAGACAGGACUGUCUAGAAAGAGGAGCAGACCUGGUGAUCAUAAACAGCAGAGAGGAACAGGUGAGAGAGAGAGAGAGAGAGAGAGAGAGAGAGAGAGAGAGAGAGAGAGAGAGAGAGAGAGGAGAGCAGACAGGACUGUCUAGAAAGAGGAGCAGACCUGGUGAUCAUAAACAGCAGAGAGGAACAGGUGUGAGAGAGAGAGAGAGAGAGAGAAGAGAGGAGAGAGGAGAGCAGACAGGACUGUCUAGAAAGAGGAGCAGACCUGGUGAUCAUAAACAGCAGAGAGGAACAGACAUUUGUCUUCAACCUCCACCUGAGAGCCUGGAUUGGUCUGACUGACUGUUACUGAGGGGAUCUGGAAGUGGGUGGACGGCACAACACUGACCACAGGGUACUGGAGCGCAGGACAGCCUGAUGAUAAUGGGAAAGAGGACUGUGUUGAGAUAUACUAUGGACAAGAUGACCCUGUAAAGACAUGGAAUGAUGAAAAUUGUCACAAAUAUCAUGACUGGAUAUGUGAGAAAGUGGUAUAACGAUAAUCCACAGUAACAAACAUUCUCUCUCUCUGUCUCUCUCUCUCUCUCUCUCUCUCUCUCAAUUCAAGGCCUUUAUUGUCAUGGGAAACAUAUGUUAACAUUGCCAAUGCAAGUGAAGUAGAUAAUAUACAGAAGUGAAAUAAACAAUAAAAAUGAACAGUAAACAUUACACUCACAGAGGUUCCAAAAGAAUAAAGACAUGUCAAACGGCGCCCCACAUCAAAAUAUUUUUCAACCAGCACAGACUUUGUAAAAUCACAAAUAUCGGUUAAAUAUUAACUUACUUUUUAAAAAUCUUCCUCUGAUUUGCAAUCCAAAGGGUCCCAACUACAACAUGUAUGGUCGUUAUGCAAGAUAAAAUCCUUCUUUAUAUCCCAAAAAGUCAGUUUAGUUGGAACCAUCGAUUUGAGUAAUCCACUCGUUCAACAUGCAGAGAAAGGAAUCCUAAAAGCUACGGCUAAACUUUGUUAAAACAAGUCCAAAUACGUUUCUAUUGAAUCCUCAGAUACCCUAAAAUGUAAUUCAACUAUAACAUUUCAUACGGAAAGUAGUAUGUUCAAUAGAAAAGCUAAAUUAGCAGGUGCGCGUCUUCUUCGUCACGCACCAGUCUGAUUUCCAACUCUGACUCCCAGUACUAAAACUCAAAAGUCUUCCUUGUUUGGGAAAAAACAAAACUGAAACCUUGAACAACGACUGUUGAUAUCUAGUGGAAGCCAUAGGAAUUGCAAUCUAUGAGCUGGAUUUGUAUACGACCCUAUUACCUUCCAUUGUAAGAGCAUGGGCUCUCAAAAAAAAAAUACAUUCUGUUUGGAUUUUCUUUGGAUUUUCUCCUACCAUAUCUAUUGUGUUAUAGUCUCAUACAUUAUUUUAACAUUUCUCCAAACUUCAAAGGGUUCUCCAUCCAAUGGUACCACUUAUAUGCUUAUCCUGGCUUCUGGGCCGGAGUAACAGGCAGUUUACUUUGGGCACGUCAGUCAGGCGGAAAUUCAGAAAAAAAGACCCUAGCCUGAAGAAGUGAUGAUUCCACCUUCUGGUUAAAGUGAGAGAUGAACUCAACAUAGAGGUGAAAUUGAGACUCUGUCUCAAAACACAUUGGAGAACAGAAUCCAGGGGGACUGACCUUGGACCUUCUCUAAUAGGGUUGAAAGGAGGAGAGGAGGUAGGAGAGGAAUCUAGGAAAAAAUAAUUGAGAUAUAGCCUUAGUGUCAGAGAGAGACAUAGAGGAGGAAGAAAAUUAAGAGUGAGGAAGAGAGCAAAAAUAAUAUGAAUAAUUGUUGUGUUUAGAUUAAGAGGAGAGUAUGUAGACAUACUGUACUCUGUAAAAUGAUUCUUCAUUGGUUUUAUUAGAAACAUGUCAUGUGAUUUGCCAUAGACUUAUGCUUAGUAAAAAAAAGUGGAACCAAUUAUGAACCAAUGCUUAUCACUUUAGUGAUAUGAAUAGCCAAGUCACUUUUGAAUAAAAAAAGGAACAAUUGUC